This 657-nucleotide ribosomal RNA is filed under the name uncultured archaeon. RNAcentral's name for it is "bacterial SSU rRNA". It matches the Rfam family "Archaeal small subunit ribosomal RNA", at positions 96 to 735 of the family's 1478-position model. The record is from RNAcentral.
ACACGUAGUCAACCUGCCCUGGAGACGCGGACAAACCCGGGAAACUGGGGCUAAUCCGCGAUAGAUGACCUCAUCUGGAAGGAGAGGCCGUCCAAAAGGCGACGCGAGUAUGCUUCGCGCCAUCCGCUCCAGGAUGGGACUGCGGCCGAUCAGGCUGUUGGCGGGGUAAUGGCCCACCAAACCUGUAACCGGUACGGGCUUUGAGAGAAGGAGCCCGGAGAUGGACACUGAGACAAGGGUCCAGGCCCUACGGGGCGCAUCAGGCGCGAAAACUUCGCAAUGCGCGAAAGCGUGACGAGGCUAGUCCGAGUGCCUUCCGCUGAGGAGGGCUUUUCUCGGCUGCAAAAAGGCCGGGGAAUAAGGGGAGGGCAAGUCUGGUGUCAGCCGCCGCGGUAAUACCAGCUCCUCGAGUGGUCGGGACGAUUAUUGGGCCUAAAGCACCCGUAGCCGGUUCAGUAAGUCCUCUGUCAAAUCCAACCGCUCAACGGUUGGCCUGCAGAGGAUACUGCAGGACUAGGAGGCGGGAGAGGCGGACGGUACUCCGCGUGUAGGGGUAAAAUCCUUUGAUCCGCGGAAGACCACCAGUGGCGAAGGCGGUCCGCCAGAACGCGCUCGACGGUGAGGGGUGAAAGCUGGGGGAGCGAACCGGAUUAGAUA